UCCGUAUUUUAAAGAAAUAGCUUUCUAAUGUCUUUAUGCAGUUUUUCAGUAGCACAAGAUAGAUU
This is a non-coding RNA of Equus caballus (horse), 65 nucleotides long. The record is from Rfam. Lineage: Eukaryota; Metazoa; Chordata; Mammalia; Perissodactyla; Equidae.